Molecule: ribosomal RNA, 501 nt
Filed under: uncultured bacterium
Lineage: Bacteria
Description: partial 16S ribosomal RNA
Rfam family: Bacterial small subunit ribosomal RNA
Source: RNAcentral
AUUGAACGCUGGCGGCAUGCCUUACACAUGCAAGUCGAACGGCAGCACGGGUGCUUGCACCUGGUGGCGAGUGGCGAACGGGGGAGUAAUACAUCGGAACGUACCUUAUCGUGGGGGAUAACGCAGCGAAAGUUGCGCUAAUACCGCAUACGCCCUGAGGGGGAAAGCGGUGGACCGUAAGGCCUCGCGCGAUUAGAGCGGCCGAUGUCUGAUUAGUUUGGUGGUGAGGUAAAAGCUCACCAAGGCGAUGAUCAGUAGCUGGUCUGAGAGGACGAUCAGCCACACUGGGACUGAGACACGGCCCAGACUCCUACGGGAGGCAGCAGUGGGGAAUUUUGGACAAUGGGUGCAACCCUGAUCCAGCAAUGCCGCGUGAGUGAAGAAGGCCUUCGGGUUGUAAAGCUCUUUUGUCAGGGAAGAAACAGCAGCUCUAACACAGUCUGCGAAUGACGGUACCUGAAGAAUAAGCACCGGCUAACUACGUGCCAGCCGCCGCCGUAA